UACGUAUGGUGCAAGCGUUAUCCGGAUUUACUGGGCGUAAAGGGAGCGUAGGUGGCAAGGCAAGCCAGAAGUGAAAACCCUGGGCUCAACCGAGGGAUUGCUUUUGGAACUGUUUAGCUGGAGUGCAGGAGGGGUAAGCGGAAUUCCUGGUGUAGAGGUGAAAUUCGUAGAUAUCAGGAGGAACACCGGAGGCGAAGGCGGCUUACUGGACUGCUACUGACACUGAGGCUCGAAAGCGUGGGGAGCAAAC
This 250-nucleotide ribosomal RNA is filed under the name uncultured prokaryote. Its description in RNAcentral is "partial 16S ribosomal RNA". It matches the Rfam family "Bacterial small subunit ribosomal RNA", at positions 524 to 773 of the family's 1533-position model. The record is from RNAcentral.